GGGCGAAUAGCUCAGCUGGGAGAGCACUUGCCUUACAAGCAAGGGGUCACAGGUGCGAGCCCUGUUUCGCCCACCA
This 76-nucleotide transfer RNA is filed under the name Bacillota bacterium. RNAcentral's name for it is "Firmicutes bacterium (anaerobic digester metagenome) tRNA-Val". It matches the Rfam family "tRNA". From Rfam's summary of the family: Transfer RNA (tRNA) molecules are approximately 80 nucleotides in length. The record is from RNAcentral. Lineage: Bacteria; Bacillati; Bacillota.